RNAcentral lists this ribosomal RNA (253 nucleotides) under uncultured bacterium. RNAcentral describes it as "partial 16S ribosomal RNA". It matches the Rfam family "Bacterial small subunit ribosomal RNA", at positions 524 to 776 of the family's 1533-position model. The record is from RNAcentral.
UACGAAGGGGGCUAGCGUUGUUCGGAUUUACUGGGCGUAAAGCGCACGUAGGCGGAUCGUUAAGUCGGGGGUGAAAUCCUGGAGCUCAACUCCAGAACUGCCUUCGAUACUGGCGAUCUAGAGUCCGGAAGAGGUGAGUGGAAUUCCGAGUGUAGAGGUGAAAUUCGUAGAUAUUCGGAAGAACACCAGUGGCGAAGGCGGCUCACUGGACUGGUAUUGACGCUGAGGUGCGAAAGCGUGGGGAGCAAACAGG